RNAcentral lists this non-coding RNA (21 nucleotides) under Arabidopsis thaliana (thale cress). Lineage: Eukaryota; Viridiplantae; Streptophyta; Magnoliopsida; Brassicales; Brassicaceae. The record is from RNAcentral.
CGAAUCAACAAGUUAAAGCCA